This 551-nucleotide ribosomal RNA is filed under the name Aureobasidium pullulans. RNAcentral describes it as "eukaryotic LSU rRNA". It matches the Rfam family "Eukaryotic large subunit ribosomal RNA", at positions 69 to 635 of the family's 3401-position model. The record is from RNAcentral. Lineage: Eukaryota; Fungi; Ascomycota; Dothideomycetes; Dothideales; Saccotheciaceae.
AGAUGAUUGCCCUAGUAACGGCGAGUGAAGCGGCAACAGCUCAAAUUUGAAAGCUGGCCUUCGGGUCCGCAUUGUAAUUUGUAGAGGAUGCUUUGGGUGAAACGCCAGUCUAAGUUCCUUGGAACAGGACGUCAUAGAGGGUGAGAAUCCCGUAUGUGACUGGAAAUGUUAACCUAUGUAAAGCUCCUUCGACGAGUCGAGUUGUUUGGGAAUGCAGCUCUAAAUGGGAGGUAAAUUUCUUCUAAAGCUAAAUAUUGGCGAGAGACCGAUAGCGCACAAGUAGAGUGAUCGAAAGAUGAAAAGCACUUUGGAAAGAGAGUUAAAAAGCACGUGAAAUUGUUGAAAGGGAAGCGCUUGCAAUCAGACUUGUUUAAACUGUUCGGCCGGUCUUCUGACCGGUUUACUCAGUUUGGACAGGCCAGCAUCAGUUUCGGCGGCCGGAUAAAGGCUCUGGGAAUGUGGCCUUCACUUCGGUGAAGGUGUUAUAGCCCAGGGUGUAAUACGGCCAGCCGGGACUGAGGUCCGCGCUUCGGCUAGGAUGCUGGACGUAA